RNAcentral lists this long non-coding RNA (1034 nucleotides) under Canis lupus familiaris (dog). RNAcentral describes it as "lncRNA (ENSCAFG00845008011.1)". The record is from RNAcentral. Lineage: Eukaryota; Metazoa; Chordata; Mammalia; Carnivora; Canidae.
UCAGCCCGGCAUUGCUGUUAACCCAUUGGAUGGCUUCUCUGCUUCCAGAAAAAUAAGACUGUCUGUCCUGCCACCUAUCACCACGGAGACUAUCCCCGAAGCUGGUUUUCCUGCUACUAGGUCGGUUUCCCGAGUCCCACUCACCGGCUCCUCCUUUAACCUCCCGUGGCUGAGAAUUGCAAAAUCCAAAGAGUGGAUUAAAUCAUCCGCGGGCUCUCUUCCAGCCCUGCCAUCUGCGGUUCUGCGGCUCUUGAGAAAUCAGACCUGAAUACCCCCAAAGAGGCCUGGCCUUCCUAGGAGAUCUAAGAACCUUCUCGGCCUAGGCUGGGUUGCCAGCGCCCUCUCGUGAGCAGAUCUGACCCGUCACAGAGCCAGGAAAUGACGUCGUCAGGAAAUUGCAAAAUCAAAAUAGCAACGAGGCAAGCACCUAAAUAUUAAGGGUUGACCUUGAUCAGGGCUUUGGAUGCCGACCUGCAGGCCGCACGAGGCUUACCCCCUCCACCCUUGCAGCACCCCCAUGGAGGGAGCCGUGCUACUUCUGCCAUUUUAGAGAUCCCUUGUCCAAGGCCGCCCAGCUCCCACCCAAGCCCUGAACUCAGGCAGCGGGAUUCCAAGGCGUCUUCAGAACUCACCACUACCGUGUCCCAUCAGAGGAAAAUGACUUUAAGAGGCCAUAGAGUUCUUUUCUUCAUGGAGCGACUCAAAGGACUAAUGUUGCAGGGAACUCACUUCUGGAAACACCGUUCUAGCUCAUUGAUGCUCGGCUUGUAGGCGAGGAAAUGAAGACCCAGGGAGCUAGUGGACCCGGGGACUCAGACACUCGUCAAAAGAAAGACCAGCUCAUGACUGACCCCACCGUCAAGGAACCUUUGGAAUGGGGGCAGGUGCCAUCUACUGAGGCUGAUGUGAUGUGGAAUCAGGAUCAGGUUCAUGUCCACAAGCUCGCGUGGCAAGCACUGCUAUGAUGCCCGUCUGCAGAUGAGGAAACUGAGACACGAGCAUCAAAUAAGUUGCACGAGGCCACAGAACUAGUA